UACGGAGGGAGCUAGCGUUGUUCGGAAUUACUGGGCGUAAAGAGUACGUAGGCGGUUUUUUAAGUCAGAGGUGAAAUCCCGGAGCUCAACUCCGGAACUGCCUUUGAAACUAGGUAGCUAGAAUCUUGGAGAGGUCAGUGGAAUUCCGAGUGUAGAGGUGUAAUUCGUAGAUAUUCGGAAGAACACCAGUGGCGAAGGCGACUGACUGGACAAGUAUUGACGCUGAGGUGCGAAAGCGUGGGGAGCAAACAGGAUUAGAUACUCUGGUAGUCCACGCCGUAAACGAUGAGUGCUAGGUGUUAGGCCCUUUCCGGGGCUUAGUGCCGCAGCUAACGCAUUAAGCACUCCGCCUGGGGAGUACGACCGCAAGGUUGAAACUC
Molecule: ribosomal RNA, 380 nt
Filed under: uncultured Novosphingobium sp.
Lineage: Bacteria; Pseudomonadati; Pseudomonadota; Alphaproteobacteria; Sphingomonadales; Sphingomonadaceae
Description: bacterial SSU rRNA
Rfam family: Bacterial small subunit ribosomal RNA
Source: RNAcentral